CGACGACUCCGGCCACCGCGGGUUCUAGCGCCAACUCGAUCUCUCUCCCUCUCUAAAAUCUCAUCAUUUAGCUAUGUAUAUAGGAUCAUAAUCCCUCCCAAAAUAGAAAUAAGGUGGUGUUCUUCUACACAUAAAUUAAUUACUUCACUUCUAUGAGUUUACUAUUGAGUUACAGCAUCUGGGAUUAAAUCACAAAUUCCAAAUCUGGUUGUAUGUGUUAAAGUUCUAAUCAAUAUAGUAAAUAAUC
RNAcentral lists this small RNA (247 nucleotides) under Oryza sativa Japonica Group (Japanese rice). Its description in RNAcentral is "sRNA Os07g0627600". The record is from RNAcentral. Lineage: Eukaryota; Viridiplantae; Streptophyta; Magnoliopsida; Poales; Poaceae.